GACGAACGCUGGCGGCGUGCUUAACACAUGCAAGUCGAACGGAAAGGCCCUUCGGGGUACUCGAGUGGCGAACGGGUGAGUAACACGUGGGUGAUCUGCCCUGCACUUUGGGAUAAGCCUGGGAAACUGGGUCUAAUACCGAAUAGGACCACGCGCCUCAUGGUGUGUGGUGGAAAGCUUUUGCGGUGUGGGAUGGGCCCGCGGCCUAUCAGCUUGUUGGUGGGGUAAUGGCCUACCAAGGCGACGACGGGUAGCCGGCCUGAGAGGGUGACCGGCCACACGGGGACUGAGAUACGGCCAGACUCCUACGGGAGGCAGCAGUGGGGAAUAUUGCACAAUGGGCGCAAGCCUGAUGCAGCGACGCCGCGUGAGGGAUGACGGCCUUCGGGUUGUAAACCUCUUUCAAUAGGGACGAAGCGCAAGUGACGGUACCUAUAGAAGAAGCACCGGCCAACUACGUG
Molecule: ribosomal RNA, 461 nt
Filed under: uncultured bacterium
Lineage: Bacteria
Description: partial 16S ribosomal RNA
Rfam family: Bacterial small subunit ribosomal RNA
Source: RNAcentral